UACGUAGGGUGCAAGCGUUGUCCGGAAUUAUUGGGCGUAAAGAGCUCGUAGGCGGUUCGUCGCGUCGGCUGUGAAAACCCGGAGCUCAACUCCGGGCCUGCAGUCGAUACGGGCGGACUAGAGUUCGGCGGGGGAGACUGGAAUUCCUGGUGUAGCGGUGGAAUGCGCAGAUAUCAGGAGGAACACCGGUGGCGAAGGCGGGUCUCUGGGCCGUUACUGACGCUGAGGAGCGAAAGCGUGGGGAGCGAACAGG
RNAcentral lists this ribosomal RNA (253 nucleotides) under uncultured bacterium. Its description in RNAcentral is "partial 16S ribosomal RNA". It matches the Rfam family "Bacterial small subunit ribosomal RNA", at positions 524 to 776 of the family's 1533-position model. The record is from RNAcentral.